RNAcentral lists this ribosomal RNA (520 nucleotides) under uncultured Glomus. Its description in RNAcentral is "SSU rRNA". It matches the Rfam family "Eukaryotic small subunit ribosomal RNA", at positions 569 to 1092 of the family's 1831-position model. Lineage: Eukaryota; Fungi; Glomeromycota; Glomeromycetes; Glomerales; Glomeraceae. The record is from RNAcentral.
AGCAGCCGCGGUAAUUCCAGCUCCAAUAGCGUAUAUUAAAGUUGUUGCAGUUAAAAAGCUCGUAGUUGAAUUUCGAGACCGGUUUACUGGUCGUGCUUUUGUACGUACUGGUAUUAUUGGUUUCUCCUUUCUGACGAAUCUUAAUGCCAUUAAUUUGGUGUUUUGGGGAAUCAGGACUGUUACUUUGAAAAAUUAGAGUGUUUAAAGCAGGCUCACGCUUGGAUACAUUAGCAUGGAAUAACGGAAUAGGACGUUUGAUUCUAUUUUGUUGGUUUCUAGGAUCGACGUAAUGAUUAAUAGGGAUAGUUGGGGGCAUUAGUAUUCAAUUGUCAGAGGUGAAAUUCUUGGAUUUAUUGAGGACUAACUACUGCGAAAGCAUUUGCCAAGGAUGUUUUCAUUAAUCAAGAACGAAAGUUAGGGGAUCGAAGACGAUCAGAUACCGUCGUAGUCUUAACCAUAAACUAUGCCGACUAGGGAUCGGAUGAUGUUAAUUUUUUAAUGACUCAUUCGGCGCCUUACG